CUAAUUUGUAAAUGAAAAUGGUCACCAUCACUAAUCAUUAGAGAAAUGCAAAUCAAAAGCACAAUGAUGUAUCAUUUCAUCCCAGUUAGAAUUGCUAUAAAAAGUAAUGAAUGAUGUGAAGACGUGGAAAAAAGGGAACUCUAAAAACGUUGUUAGGAAUGAAAAUUAGGACAGCCACUGUGAAAAACAGUAUGAAGAUUUCUCAAAAAAAAAAAAAAUCUUAAAA
Sapajus apella (tufted capuchin) is the source of this 226-nucleotide long non-coding RNA. RefSeq lists it as uncharacterized. The record is from RefSeq and is a predicted model, not a curated record. Lineage: Eukaryota; Metazoa; Chordata; Mammalia; Primates; Cebidae. The transcript has 3 exons.